GAUGAAUGCUGGCGGCGUGCCUAACACAUGCAAGUCGAGCGGCAGCGAGGGGUGCUUGCACCCUGUCGGCGAGCGGCGGACGGCUGAGUAACGCGUGGGAAUCUACCCUAAAGUGAGGGAUAACCGCCCGAAAGGGUGGCUAAUACCGCAUAUGAUCUUCGGAUUAAAGGAUUUAUCCGCUUUAGGAAGAGCCCGCGUUAGAUUAGGUAGUUGGUAGGGUAAUGGCCUACCAAGCCAACGAUCUAUAGCUGGUCUGAGAGGAUGAUCAGCCAGACUGGAACUGAGACACGGUCCAGACUCCUACGGGAGGCAGCAGUGAGGAAUCUUCCACAAUGGGCGAAAGCCUGAUGGAGCAACGCCGCGUGAAGGAUGAAGGCCUUCGGGUUGUAAACUUCUUUUAUGAGUGAAGAAUAUGACGGUAACUCAUGAAUAAGCACCGGCUAACUACGUGCCAGCAGCCGCGGUCAUACGUAGGGUGCAAGCAUUAUCCGGAGUGACUGGGCGUAAAGAGUUGCGUAGGCGGUUUAGUAAGUGAAUAGUGAAACCUGGUGGCUCACCAUACAGACUAUUAUUCAAACUGUUAAACUCGAGAGUGGUAGAGGUAACUGGAAUUUCUAGUGUAGGAGUGAAAUCCGUAGAUAUUAGAAGGAACACCAAUGGCGUAGGCAGGUUACUGGACCAUUUCUGACGCUAAGGCACGAAAGCGUGGGGAGCGAACUGGAUUAGAUACCCAGGUAGUCCACGCCGUAAACGAUGGAUACUAGCUGUUGGAGGUAUCGACCCCUUCAGUAGCGAAGCUAACGCGUUAAGUAUCCCGCCUGUGGAGUACGGCCGCAAGGCUAAAACAUAAAGGAAUUGACGGGGACCCGCACAAGCGGUGGAUCAUGUUCUUUAAUUCGAUGAUAAACGAAGAACCUUACCAGGGUUUGACAUCCCGAGAAGAUUUACGAAAGUAAAUUGUGCCUUUUGGAACUCGGUGACAGAUGAUGCAUGGCCGUCGUCAGCUCGUGUCGUGAGAUGUUUGGUUAAGUCCAUCAACGAGCGCAACCCUUGUGAAUAGUUGAAUUUUUCUAUUCAGACUGCCCCGGCAACGGGGAGGAAGGAGGGGAUGAUGUCAGGUCAGUAUUUCUCUUACAUCCUGGGCUAGAAACGUGAUACAAUGGCAAGUACAAUGCGCAGCGAAGCCGCGAGGUGAAGCAAAUCGCACCAAAGCUUGUCCCAGUUCGGAUUGGAGGCUGAAACUCGCCUCCAUGAAGUCGGAAUCGCUAGUAAUCGCAGGUCAGCAAACUGCGGUGAAUACGUUCCCGGGUCU
This 1312-nucleotide ribosomal RNA is filed under the name uncultured bacterium. Its description in RNAcentral is "bacterial SSU rRNA". It matches the Rfam family "Bacterial small subunit ribosomal RNA", at positions 28 to 1381 of the family's 1533-position model. The record is from RNAcentral.